Molecule: ribosomal RNA, 942 nt
Filed under: uncultured bacterium
Lineage: Bacteria
Description: bacterial SSU rRNA
Rfam family: Bacterial small subunit ribosomal RNA
Source: RNAcentral
GAGGAUGCCUUCGGGGGUUAACCCCGUUUUGUUGGGAGGGAGAUAUCGGCGGUACCCGACGAAGAAGGACCCGGCCACUACGUGCCAGCAGCCGCAGCUAUUCGUCGGGCCUGAGCGUUGUCCGGAGUUACUGGGCGUAAAGCGCGCGCAGGCUGCGCGUCUAGUCUGGCGUGAAAGCCCGGCGGAUCAACCGGGGAGGGUCGUCGGGGACGGGCUCGCUUGAGGACGGCAGGGACAAGUGGAAGUCCCGGUGUAGUGCUGACAUGCGUAGAGAUCGAGAGGAACACCCGUGGCGAAGUCUGUUGAUGGUCCGAUCAUGUCGAUGAGGGGUGAAGGCGUGGGGAGCGAUCGAGAUUAGAUACCCCGGUAGUCCACGCAGUAACCGAUGCCGAUUAGGCGUAGGGGGAGUUGACCCCCUCCGUGCCCGAGCCAACGCGGUAAGUCGGCCGCCUGGGGAGUACGACCGCAAGGGUAAAACUCAAAGGAAUUGACGGGGGCCCGCACAAGCGGCGGAGCGUGCGGUUUAAUUUGACGCAACGCGCAGAACCUUACCCGGGCUUGACAUGCGCAUGCAGAGCCGGGAAACCGGUUGGCUUUUGAGGGUGGCGCACAGGUGCUGCAUGGCUGUCGUCAGCUAGUGUCGUGAGAUGUUGGGUUAAGUCCCGCAACGAGCGCAACCCCCGCGGCCAGUUGCCGAUGUUUCUGGCCGGACUGCCGGUAGCAAGCCGGAGGAAGGUGGGGAUGAUGUCAAGUCAGCAUGGCCCUUACGUCCGGGGCGACACGCACGCUACAAUGGCCGGGACAGUGGGUUGCCAAGGCGCAAGCCGGAGCCAAUCCCCCAAACCCGGUCUCAGUUCGGAUUGCGGGCUGCAACUCGCCCGCAAGAAGGUGGAGUCGCUAGUAACCGCGGGUCAGCACUACCGCGGUGAAUACGUUCCCGGG